UACGAACUGUGCGAACGUUAUUCGGAAUCACUGGGCUUACAGGGUGCGUAGGCUGCUGUGCCAGUCAGGUGUGAAAGCCCCCGGCUCAACCGGGGAACAGCGCUUGAAACUGCACAGCUUGAGUGAGCUAGAGGCAUGCGGAACUUCCGGUGGAGCGGUGAAAUGUGUUGAUAUCGGAAGGAACACCAGAGGCGAAGGCGGCAUGCUGGGGCUUGACUGACGCUGAGGCACAAAAGCCAGGGGAGCAAACGGG
RNAcentral lists this ribosomal RNA (253 nucleotides) under uncultured bacterium. RNAcentral describes it as "partial 16S ribosomal RNA". It matches the Rfam family "Bacterial small subunit ribosomal RNA", at positions 524 to 776 of the family's 1533-position model. The record is from RNAcentral.